CUGGAAUUCCUGGUGUAGCGGUGGAAUGCGCAGAUAUCAGGAGGAACACCAAUGGCGAAGGCAGGUCUCUGGGCCAUUACUGACACUGAGGAGCGAAAGCGUGGGGAGCGAACAGGAUUAGAUACCCUGGUAGUCCACGCCGUAAACGGUGGGCACUAGUUGUGGGAACCUUCCACGGUUUCUGCGACGCAGCUAACGCAUUAAGUGCCCCGCCUGGGGAGUACGAUCGCAAGAUUAAAACUCAAAGGAAUUGACGGGGCCCCGCACAAGCAGCGGAGCAUGCGGCUUAAUUCGACGCAACGCGAAGAACCUUACCAAGGCUUGACAUAUACCGGAAUGUGGCAGAGAUGUCACAGCUGUAAAAGGUCGGUAUACAGGUGGUGCAUGGUUGUCGUCAGCUCGUGUCGUGAGAUGUUGGGUUAAGUCCCGCAACGAGCGCAACCCUCGUUCUGUGUUGCCAGCAUUUAGUUGGGGACUCACAGGAGACUGCCGGGGUCAACUCGGAGGAAGGUGGGGAUGACGUCAAAUCAUCAUGCCCCUUAUGUCUUGGGCUGCACGCAUGCUACAAUGGCUGGUACAAAGGGCUGCAAUGCCGCAAGGUGGAGCGAAUCCCAAAAAGCCAGUCUCAGUUCGGAUUGGGGUCUGCAACUCGACCCCAUGAAGUCGGAGUUGCUAGUAAUCGCAGAUCAGCAACGCUGCGGUGAAUACGUUCCCGGGGCUUGUACACACCGCCCGUCACGUCAUGAAAGUCGGUAACACCCGAAGUCAGUGGCCCAACCGCAAGGGGGGAGCUGCCGAAGGUGGGAUCGGUGAUUGGGACGAAGUCGUAACAAGGUA
This 837-nucleotide ribosomal RNA is filed under the name uncultured bacterium. RNAcentral's name for it is "bacterial SSU rRNA". It matches the Rfam family "Bacterial small subunit ribosomal RNA", at positions 661 to 1498 of the family's 1533-position model. The record is from RNAcentral.